This 477-nucleotide ribosomal RNA is filed under the name uncultured bacterium. RNAcentral's name for it is "partial 16S ribosomal RNA". It matches the Rfam family "Bacterial small subunit ribosomal RNA", at positions 28 to 506 of the family's 1533-position model. The record is from RNAcentral.
GAUGAACGCUGGCGGCGUGCUUAACACAUGCAAGUCGAACGAGAAAUGUAGACGGAUACCUUCUGGCGGAAGCCUUCAUUUCGAGUGGCGGACGGGUGAGUAACGCCUGGGUAACCUGCCUCAUACAGGGGGAUAACAGUUGGAAACGACUGUUAAUACUGCAUCAGACUACAGCAUCGCAUGAUGCGGGGGUAAAAACUCCGGUGGUAUGAUAUGGACCCGCGUUCGAUUUGCCAGUUGGCGGGGUAACGGACCACCAACGCGACGAGCGAUAGCCGGAGGGUGAGGAGGCACAGCGAGAUUGAGACUGAGACAAGGCCCAAACGCCUACGAGAAGCAGCAGAGGGGAAAAUUGCACAGGGAGGGAAAUGCUGAAGCAGCGAGGGCGGGAGAGUGAAGAAGUAGUUCGGUAUGGAAAGCUCUAUCAGCGGGGAAGAAGAGGACGGAACCGGUAAAAGAGGCCCCGGCAAACUACGG